Molecule: unclassified non-coding RNA, 202 nt
Filed under: Stropharia inuncta
Lineage: Eukaryota; Fungi; Basidiomycota; Agaricomycetes; Agaricales; Strophariaceae
Description: partial internal transcribed spacer 2
Source: RNAcentral
AAUUCUCAACCUUUAUCAACUUUUGUUGAUGAAUGGCUUGGAUAUGGGAGUUGCUGGUUUCUCUUUUGAGAUCAGCUCUUCUGAAAAGCAUUAGCUGGUUGCCUUGUGCAAACUUGUCUAUUGGUGUGAUAAUUAUCUACGCCGUUGACUGUUUGUCAGUUUAAGCACUGCUUCCAAUCGUCUGUACAGACAAUUUAUGACC